AGCCGGAAGAGCGGGUCCCCGCUGGUGUUUGGGGCCCCCGGGCGGCUUGGAAGAGAAGGUGAGCUUUCAGAAAGCUUGUUCCCUCCCGGGAGGAGCCCGAGCCGAGCGUCUGGUCUCCUUAGGGAAUGGCGCUCGGCCAGACCGCUGCCCCGGUGUCACGGGAGGGACCGGGGGAUCGGAGAUUCCUGUAGAAGUGGCCUUCAUCUUGUCAUUGUUGAAUUUGGGGCCUUUUGGAUCAGGACAUACUUCAGUGCCAAGCAAUGAUACUACAUUGAAAAAAAAAAGGUAUUGCUGAAUGUUGGAAGGCCUAUUGCUUCAUCUUUGUUUU
Molecule: long non-coding RNA, 328 nt
Filed under: Vombatus ursinus (common wombat)
Lineage: Eukaryota; Metazoa; Chordata; Mammalia; Diprotodontia; Vombatidae
Description: lncRNA (ENSVURG00010009597.1)
Source: RNAcentral